CUACGGGUGGCUCCAGUGAGGAAUAUUGCACAAUGGGGGGAACCCUGAUGCAGCAACGCCGCGUGGAGGAUGACGCAUUUCGGUGUGUAAACUCCUUUUAUGAGUCAAGAAAAUGACGGUAGCUCAUGAAUAAGCACCGGCUAACUCCGUGCCAGCAGCCGCGGUAAUACGGAGGGUGCAAGCGUUACUCGGAAUCACUGGGCGUAAAGGACGCGUAGGCGGGUUGUCAAGUCAGGUGUGAAAUCCUACAGCUUAACUGUAGAACUGCACUUGAAACUGGCAGCCUAGAGUAUGGGAGGGGGAGAUGGAAUUAGUGGUGUAGGGGUAAAAUCCGUAGAUAUCACUAGGAAUACCUAAAGCGAAGGCGAUCUCCUGGAACAUUACUGACGCUAAGGCGUGAAAGCGUGGGGAGCAAACAGGAUUAGAUACCCCCGUAGUC
This 439-nucleotide ribosomal RNA is filed under the name uncultured bacterium. RNAcentral describes it as "partial 16S ribosomal RNA". It matches the Rfam family "Bacterial small subunit ribosomal RNA", at positions 339 to 795 of the family's 1533-position model. The record is from RNAcentral.